Molecule: ribosomal RNA, 478 nt
Filed under: uncultured bacterium
Lineage: Bacteria
Description: partial 16S ribosomal RNA
Rfam family: Bacterial small subunit ribosomal RNA
Source: RNAcentral
GACGAACGCUGGCGGCGUGCUUAACACAUGCAAGUCGAACGGUAAGGCCCUUCGGGGUACACGAGUGGCGAAGGGGUGAGUAACACGUGGGUGAUCUGCCCUGCACUUCGGGAUAAGCCUGGGAAACUGGGUCUAAUACCGGAUAGGACCACUGCCUGCAUGGGUGGUGGUGGAAAGCUUUUGCGGUGUGGGAUGGGCCCGCGGCCUAUCAGCUUGUUGGUGGGGUGAUGGCCUACCAAGGCGACGACGGGUAGCCGGCCUGAGAGGGUGACCGGCCACACUGGGGCUGAGCUACGGCCCAGGCGCCUACGGGAGGCAGCAGUGGGGAAUAUUGCACAAUGGGCGCAAGCCUGAUGCAGCGACGCCGCGUGAGGGAUGACGGCCUUCGGGUUGUAAACCUCUUUCAGCACCGACGAAGCGCAAGUGACGGUAGGUGCAGAAGAAGGACCGGCCAACUACGUGCCAGCCGCCGCGGUAA